Molecule: transfer RNA, 71 nt
Filed under: Leptocimbex sp. CSCS-Hym-MC0166
Lineage: Eukaryota; Metazoa; Arthropoda; Insecta; Hymenoptera; Cimbicidae
Description: tRNA-Val
Source: RNAcentral
CAAAUUAGAACUUAGAUAAAGUGUUUUUAUUUACAAUAAAAAAAUUUAUUGUGAAAUUCAAUAUAAUUUGA